This 333-nucleotide long non-coding RNA is filed under the name Musa acuminata (dwarf banana). RNAcentral describes it as "long non-coding RNA (MACU_LNC011828)". The record is from RNAcentral. Lineage: Eukaryota; Viridiplantae; Streptophyta; Magnoliopsida; Zingiberales; Musaceae.
AAAACUGUUAGGACUUUAGCUAGGAGAGUCCUAAUUGAGAGGGACAUUAUGUUAGGACUCUAGUUAGGAGAGUCCUAAUUGAGAGGGACAUUUAUGUAGGAGGUUUUUUCUUAGAGAAGAAUUAGGAGUUGUAAGGGAAUAGGAGUCUUGAGUAGGAGUCCUAUUAGGAGUUGGUUAGAAGUAAGAGUCUUAAGUAGGAGUCCUAUUAGGAGUUAGGGUUUAGAAGCCCUAUAAAUAGCCAUGUAUUCCUCCUCUUUUCAUAAGCAAUAGAUGAAUCUUUUCUGCAGCCUUUGAGCAGCAACUUGGAGGGAGGAACCCCUAUAGAGUUCCAAG